RNAcentral lists this ribosomal RNA (484 nucleotides) under uncultured bacterium. RNAcentral describes it as "bacterial SSU rRNA". It matches the Rfam family "Bacterial small subunit ribosomal RNA", at positions 501 to 985 of the family's 1533-position model. The record is from RNAcentral.
CUACGUGCCAGCAGCCGCGGUAAUACGGAAGGUCCAGGCGUUAUCCGGAUUUAUUGGGUUUAAAGGGAGCGUAGGCCGUGGAUUAAGCGUGUUGUGAAAUGUAGACGCUCAACGUCUGAAUUGCAGCGCGAACUGGUUCACUUGAGUAUGCACAACGUAGGCGGAAUUCGUCGUGUAGCGGUGAAAUGCUUAGAUAUGACGAAGAACUCCGAUUGCGAAGGCAGCUUACGGGAGCACAACUGACGCUGAAGCUCGAAGGUGCGGGUAUCAAACAGGAUUAGAUACCCUGGUAGUCCGCACAGUAAACGAUGGAUGCCCGUUGUUAGUUCACUUUCGAAUUAGCGACCAAGCGAAAGCAUUAAGCAUCCCACCUGGGGAGUACGCCGGCAACGGUGAAACUCAAAGGAAUUGACGGGGGCCCGCACAAGCGGAGGAACAUGUGGUUUAAUUCGAUGAUACGCGAGGAACCUUACCCGGGCUUGAA